RNAcentral lists this ribosomal RNA (403 nucleotides) under uncultured bacterium. RNAcentral describes it as "partial 16S ribosomal RNA". It matches the Rfam family "Bacterial small subunit ribosomal RNA", at positions 29 to 526 of the family's 1533-position model. The record is from RNAcentral.
AUUGAACGCUGGCGGCAGGCCUAACACAUGCAAGUCGAGCGAGCGGCGGACGGGUGAGUAAUGUAUGGGGACUGCCCGAUAGAGGGGGAUAACUAGAGGAAACGGUGGCUAAUACCGCAAACUAUCGGAUGACCCAUACGGGAUUAGCGAGUAGGGGGGGGAAAGGCUCACCAAGGCGACGAUCCCCAGCUGGUCUGAGAGGGUGAGCGGCCACACUGGUAAUGAGACACGGCCCAGACUCCUACGGAGGCAGCAGUGGGGAAUAUUCCGCAAUGGGCGAAAGCCUGACACAGCCACGCCGCGUGAGUGAAGAAGGGCUUCGGGUUGUAAAAUUCUUUCAGCAGGGAGGCGUUACCCACACAAGAAGCACCGGCUAACUCCGUGCCAGCAGCCGCGGUAAUAC